UUGCUUGUUUCAGCAGCACAUGAACUAAAAUUAGAAUGAUACAAAGAUUAGCAUGGGCCCUGCAAGCAAGGAUCAUCUAAAAAUUCAUUAAGCAUUCCAUAUUUAC
Small nuclear RNA from Grammomys surdaster, 106 nucleotides. NCBI's taxonomy places the organism in Eukaryota, Metazoa, Chordata, Mammalia, Rodentia, Muridae. The record is from RefSeq and is a predicted model, not a curated record.